This 204-nucleotide ribosomal RNA is filed under the name uncultured Pseudochrobactrum sp. RNAcentral describes it as "partial 16S ribosomal RNA". It matches the Rfam family "Bacterial small subunit ribosomal RNA", at positions 54 to 270 of the family's 1533-position model. Lineage: Bacteria; Pseudomonadati; Pseudomonadota; Alphaproteobacteria; Hyphomicrobiales; Brucellaceae. The record is from RNAcentral.
GCCCGGGCGGCAGCUUACCAUGCAGUCGACGGUCUCUUCGGAGGCAGUGGCAGACGGGUGAGUAAUGCAUGGGAAUCUACCGUUCUCUACGGAAUAACUCAGGGAAACUUGUGCUAAUACCGUAUACGCCCUUUUGGGGAAAGAUUUAUCGGAGAAUGAUGAGCCCAUGUUGGAUUAGCUAGUUGGUAGGGUAAAGGCCUACCA